CUCAGACCUGGCAGCCUGAGAGAAGGAAGACCAUAUUUUCUUAUUUGGUUGAAGAGUAUUGGCAUUAAUCUAUGCCAAGAGUAAACAGAGUAUGGUUUGCAGAUGUUUUGAUAUGGCCUGUCUGAUCACUUGUAUAAUCAAGAAAAAAGGACUACCUUCUAUAACAAAAAAUAUUGAAAAAAAUUCCUGGAUGUACAUGACAGAUGAUGCCCUGAUACUGUGUACCAUAUUUCAGCUUUCUGUGAUCAGGCUGGCCUUCUUCCAUCCCUUGAGUUUGUAGAUCAUUCUUCCAUUCCUGUACUUCAGGAUGACUGCCCAUUACACAAGAGCUCUGUUAAUAAAUAUAGUAGAGCCGAGGAAGCUGUAGAAAAAUAUCUGAAGCUAGCAGAGGUUGGUUCAUGAUGUUUAAGGAAAGAAGCCAUGACGGUAAUGUAAAUUUAAAUGGUGAAGACGCAGGGCUCAAGCAAAUUAGCCUAAAGAUCUAGCUACAGUAAUUGGUGCCUAUGUUAAAUAACAGGAGUUCAAUGUGGACAAAUGGCUUUCUAUUGGAAGAACAUGCUCUCUUACAGUUUCAUAGCUAGAGAGAAAUCAAUGUGAGGCUUCAAAAUCUCA
Heterocephalus glaber (naked mole-rat) is the source of this 612-nucleotide long non-coding RNA. NCBI's taxonomy places the organism in Eukaryota, Metazoa, Chordata, Mammalia, Rodentia, Bathyergidae. The record is from Ensembl.